This 424-nucleotide ribosomal RNA is filed under the name uncultured bacterium. Its description in RNAcentral is "partial 16S ribosomal RNA". It matches the Rfam family "Bacterial small subunit ribosomal RNA", at positions 355 to 795 of the family's 1533-position model. The record is from RNAcentral.
UGGGGAAUAUUGGACAAUGGGGGCAACCCUGAUCCAGCAAUGCCGCGUGUAUGAAGAAGGUCUUCGGAUUGUAAAGCACUUUCGACGGGGACGAUGAUGACGGUACCCGUAGAAGAAGCCCCGGCUAACUUCGUGCCAGCAGCCGCGGUAAUACGAAGGGGGCUAGCGUUGCUCGGAAUGACUGGGCGUAAAGGGCGUGUAGGCGGUUUACACAGUCAGAUGUGAAAUCCCCGGGCUUAACCUGGGAGCUGCAUUUGAUACGUGUAGACUAGAGUGUGAGAGAGGGUUGUGGAAUUCCCAGUGUAGAGGUGAAAUUCGUAGAUAUUGGGAAGAACACCGGUGGCGAAGGCGGCAACCUGGCUCAUGACUGACGCUGAGGCGCGAAAGCGUGGGGAGCAAACAGGAUUAGGAUACCCUGGUAGUC